Molecule: ribosomal RNA, 439 nt
Filed under: uncultured bacterium
Lineage: Bacteria
Description: partial 16S ribosomal RNA
Rfam family: Bacterial small subunit ribosomal RNA
Source: RNAcentral
CUACGAGUGGCUGCAGUGGGGAAUUUUGCGCAAUGGGGGAAACCCUGACGCAGCAAUACCGCGUGAGUGAAGAAGGCCUUUGGGUCGUAAAGCUCUUUUCUUGGGGAAGAUAGUGACGGUACCCAAGGAAUAAGCACCGGCUAACUCCGUGCCAGCAGCCGCGGUAAUACGGAGGGUGCAAACGUUGUUCGGAUUUACUGGGCGUAAAGGGCACGUAGGCGGCACAGCAAGUUAAGGGUGAAAUCCCGGGGCUCAACUCCGGAGCUGCUCUUAAAACUGCUGAGCUAGAGAUAGUCAGAGGCGGGUGGAAUUCCAGGUGUAGAGGUGAAAUUCGUAGAUAUCUGGAGGAACACCGGUGGCGAAGGCGGCCCGCUGGGGCUAUUCUGACGCUAAGGUGCGAAAGCGUGGGGAGCAAACGGGAUUAGAUACCCGAGUAGUC